This 390-nucleotide ribosomal RNA is filed under the name uncultured bacterium. RNAcentral describes it as "bacterial SSU rRNA". It matches the Rfam family "Bacterial small subunit ribosomal RNA", at positions 28 to 419 of the family's 1533-position model. The record is from RNAcentral.
GACGAACGCUGGCGGCGUGCUUAACACAUGCAAGUCGAGCGGUAAGGCCCCUUCGGGGGUACACGAGCGGCGAACGGGUGAGUAACACGUGGGUGACCUGCCCUCAGCUCUGGGAUAAGCCUGGGAAACUGGGUCUAAUACCGGAUAUGACUCCAUGACGCAUGUUGUGGGGUGGAAAGCCUUGUGCGGCUGAGGAUGGGCCCGCGGCCUAUCAGCUUGUUGGUGGGGUGAUGGCCUACCAAGGCGACGACGGGUAGCCGGCCUGAGAGGGCGACCGGCCACACUGGGACUGAGACACGGCCCAGACUCCUACGGGAGGCAGCAGUGGGGAAUCUUGCGCAAUGGGCGAAAGCCUGACGCAGCGACGCCGCGUGAGGGAUGACGGCCUGG